RNAcentral lists this ribosomal RNA (279 nucleotides) under uncultured bacterium. RNAcentral describes it as "partial 16S ribosomal RNA". It matches the Rfam family "Bacterial small subunit ribosomal RNA", at positions 506 to 784 of the family's 1533-position model. The record is from RNAcentral.
UGCCAGCAGCCGCGGUAAUACGGAGGGGGUUAGCGUUGUUCGAAAUUACUGGGCGUAAAGCGCACGUAGGCGGACUGGAAAGUUGGGGGUGAAAUCCCAGGGCUCAACCCUGGAACUGCCUGGGCAACGGCCGCGCUAGACAGCAUCAGGGGAAGGUGGAACUCGCGGUGGAGCGGUGAAAUGCGUAGAUAUCGCGAGGAACGCCGGUGGCGAAAGCGACCUUCUGGGGUGCUUGUGACGCUGAGGCGCGAAAGCUAGGGGAGCGAACGGGAUUAGAUA